Non-coding RNA from Mycena epipterygia, 93 nucleotides. The record is from the annotation of a GenBank genome assembly. NCBI's taxonomy places the organism in Eukaryota, Fungi, Basidiomycota, Agaricomycetes, Agaricales, Mycenaceae.
GUGCCGUUAGUGUAGGGGUAACAUACAAUCUGAUCUUAGGUAAAGUUCAGGUAGACCCAGGUUGAGUUCUGGGUUCGAAUCCCAGACGGCACA